This 310-nucleotide unclassified non-coding RNA is filed under the name plant metagenome. RNAcentral describes it as "partial contains 5.8S ribosomal RNA, internal transcribed spacer 2, and large subunit ribosomal RNA". The stretch from base 1 to 105 matches the Rfam family "5.8S ribosomal RNA", at positions 50 to 154 of the family's 154-position model. The record is from RNAcentral.
GAAAUGCGAUAAGUAGUGUGAAUUGCAGAAUUCAGUGAAUCAUCGAAUCUUUGAACGCACAUUGCGCCCCUUGGUAUUCCAUGGGGCAUGCCUGUUCGAGCGUCAUUUGUACCCUCAAGCUCUGCUUGGUGUUGGGUGUUUGUCCCCGUCUCCGCGCGUGGACUCGCCCCAAAGUGAUUGGCAGCCGGCGUACUGGUCCCGGAGCGCAGCACAUGUCGCGCAAACGAGUGCCUUGGUACGGCGGCGUCCAUAAGCCCCUCUAUCACGCUCUUGACCUCGGAUCAGGUAGGGAUACCCGCUGAACUUAAGC